CUACGGGAUGCACCAGUAGGGAAUAUUGCACAAUGGGGGAAACCCUGAUGCAGCGACGCCGCGUGAGUGAUGAAGUAUUUCGGUAUGUAAAGCUCUAUCAGCAGGGAAGAUAAUGACGGUACCUGACUAAGAAGCCCCGGCUAACUACGUGCCAGCAGCCGCGGUAAUACGUAGGGGGCAAGCGUUAUCCGGAUUUACUGGGUGUAAAGGGAGUGUAGGUGGUCUGGCAAGCCAGAUGUGAAAGCCCGGGGCUCAACCCCGAGGACUGCAUUUGGAACUGUUAGACUUGAGUGCAGGAGAGGAAAGUGGAAUUCCUAGUGUAGCGGUGAAAUGCGUAGAUAUUAGGAGGAACACCAGUGGCGAAGGCGGCUUUCUGGACUGUAACUGACACUGAGGCUCGAAAGCGUGGGGAGCAAACAGGAUUAGAUACCCUAGUAGUC
This 440-nucleotide ribosomal RNA is filed under the name uncultured bacterium. Its description in RNAcentral is "partial 16S ribosomal RNA". It matches the Rfam family "Bacterial small subunit ribosomal RNA", at positions 339 to 795 of the family's 1533-position model. The record is from RNAcentral.